RNAcentral lists this ribosomal RNA (619 nucleotides) under Coptodryas pubifer. RNAcentral describes it as "partial 28S large subunit ribosomal RNA". Lineage: Eukaryota; Metazoa; Arthropoda; Insecta; Coleoptera; Curculionidae. The record is from RNAcentral.
AAUUUUCAAUACGNGAAACCGUUUAGGGGUAAACNUGAGAAACCCGAAAGGUCGAAGGGAGAAAUUCAUUCGCGUCUCGACGUCUGGCGUCGGGCGGAACGGGACUUUGUGGACGGGAUCGCGGUCGGGUGCGCGCGCGCGUUCUUUGCGGAACGUGCGCGAGCGCGCGCGAUCUCGCACCGUCCGUCCUUCGAACCGGCGACGAACGCGUGCACUUUUCUCCUGGUAGGACGUCGCGAUCCGUCGGGCGUCGGUCUACGACUUGCGGUGGAGCCCGUCCGUCGUCGUCGUUAGCGCGACGACGCGCGGUCGGACCCGCAAUGCAUUCUGGCCGACUCGAAAUUAUAUUUUAACCGACGGUACCGCUCGAGGUCGGAGGCAGCCGCAUGCAUUUGCACAUCUCUCCAUCUCUUGGUGCGCGCGCGCGCGCGUGCGAUCUCUUCGCGGGGGUCGUCGCGUCGCGUCGCUCAGGAGCGUGGCGUGCGUGUGUUUGCGUGCGGCGUCCGACUCGUCGCAAGCGCGCCACGUGCCGACGGCACGCGGACCCAGUGCCGCGUCCGUCCUCUGGCGACUGUUGGCGGCGAGUUUCAUAUCGGACAGACCUCCUCGACCGAUCUGC